Molecule: ribosomal RNA, 253 nt
Filed under: uncultured bacterium
Lineage: Bacteria
Description: partial 16S ribosomal RNA
Rfam family: Bacterial small subunit ribosomal RNA
Source: RNAcentral
UACGUAGGGUGCGAGCGUUAUUCGGAAUUACUGGGCGUAAAGCGUGCGCAGGCGGUGAUGUAAGACAGUUGUGAAAUCCCCGGGCUCAACCUGGGAACUGCAUCUGUGACUGCAUCGCUGGAGUGCGGCAGAGGGGGAUGGAAUUCCGCGUGUAGCAGUGAAAUGCGUAGAUAUGCGGAGGAACACCGAUGGCGAAGGCAAUCCCCUGGGCCUGCACUGACGCUCAUGCACGAAAGCGUGGGGAGCAAACAGG